Small nuclear RNA from Heterocephalus glaber (naked mole-rat), 188 nucleotides. Its record names the gene U2. It matches the Rfam family "U2 spliceosomal RNA". Rfam says of the family: U2 is a small nuclear RNA (snRNA) component of the spliceosome (involved in pre-mRNA splicing). Complementary binding between U2 snRNA (in an area lying towards the 5' end but 3' to hairpin I) and the branchpoint sequence (BPS) of the intron results the bulging out of an unpaired adenosine, on the BPS, which initiates a nucleophilic attack at the intronic 5' splice site, thus starting the first of two transesterification reactions that mediate splicing. Lineage: Eukaryota; Metazoa; Chordata; Mammalia; Rodentia; Bathyergidae. The record is from Ensembl.
AUUGCUUCUCGGCCUUUUGGCUAAGAUCAAGUAUAAAAUCACUCAGGUUGUUGGCAGAAUUAAUUUUCUUAAAGCUGUAGGACUGAGGUCUUGGUUUGUUGCUGCCUAUUGGCUGGAGACUGCCUUUAGCUCAUAGUUCCUUGGCAAGUAGGCUUCCUCAUUAUGCCUGCUUACUUUGCCAAACAAGC